CUAAGGCUUGGAACCAUGUAGCAGGUUCAGAGUUCCUUAAGAGGCCAGGAAAGGUUAGUGGUGAAGGCAAGACCCAGUUUCUGGGACCCAAGCAUUUUGGAGAUGCCAGCAUCCUGGGAUGACUGCCAAGGACAGUAGCAACUGUGGAAUGGAGCCAGCCUGAGCCUAGGAGACACUCUGAGUGUACUGUGGCAAGUCCUCUGGAGCCCAGAAGACUAUUAAUAGAAUACAAUUGUCAUGGUUGUAGAAGUUCAAGAGAUGCCCAGAGCAAUAUAGAGUAUUGCCAUUGCCCUUGGUUUACUCUCAGAACCUGAAGAUUUGCAAGGUUUGGGAUGAUCAUCAGAAAAAAGAAUAAAUUUCCUAUAUGCUGAGCUCACUGUCAGAAAGGAUAACAUAUUCAAGUAUUCAGGAUUUCCCAAGCUUGUCCUAAUGUUUGGCUGUGGAUCUCUGCAUUUGUUUCUGCCAGUUACUGGAUGAAGUCUCUCUGCUGACAACUGGGGUAAGUA
Mesocricetus auratus (golden hamster) is the source of this 506-nucleotide long non-coding RNA. RefSeq lists it as uncharacterized. NCBI's taxonomy places the organism in Eukaryota, Metazoa, Chordata, Mammalia, Rodentia, Cricetidae. The record is from RefSeq and is a predicted model, not a curated record. The transcript is spliced from 4 exons.